AAGAAGUCAGGCCGGAUUAAGCCAUAGCACGGUAAGAGCUAUGCUGCCUGUGAGCCCCGUCUAAGGACGUAAAAUGAAGUCAGGCCGAAAGCCACGGUUUGAGCAAGCCGUGCUGCCUGUAGCUCCAUCGUGGGGAUGUAAAAACCUGGGAGGCUGCAAACCAUGGAAGCUGUACGCAUGGGGUAGCAGACUAGUGGUUAGAGGAGACCCCUCCCAAAACACAACGCAGCAGCGGGGCCCAACACCUGGGAAAGCUGUACCCUGGUGGUAAGGACUAGAGGUUAGAGGAG
This 290-nucleotide long non-coding RNA is filed under the name dengue virus type 1. RNAcentral describes it as "Dengue virus 1 partial sfRNA1". The stretch from base 149 to 220 matches the Rfam family "Flavivirus DB element". The record is from RNAcentral. Lineage: Riboviria; Orthornavirae; Kitrinoviricota; Flasuviricetes; Amarillovirales; Flaviviridae.